Molecule: ribosomal RNA, 465 nt
Filed under: uncultured bacterium
Lineage: Bacteria
Description: partial 16S ribosomal RNA
Rfam family: Bacterial small subunit ribosomal RNA
Source: RNAcentral
CCUACGGGAGGCAGCAGUAGGGAAUCUUCCACAAUGGACGAAAGCCUGAUGGAGCAACGCCGCGUGGGUGAAGAAGGUCUUCGGAUCGUAAAAACCUGUUGUGAGAGAAGAAAGUGCGUGAGAGUAACGGUUCACGUUUCGACGGUAUCUAACCAGAAAGCCACGGCUAACUACGUGCAAGCAGCCGCGGUUAUACGAAGGUGGCAAGCGUUAUCCGGAUUUAUUGGGCGUAAAGGGAACGCAGGCGGUCUUUUAAGUCUGAUGUGAAAGCCUUCGGCUUAACCGGAGUAGUGCAUUGGAAACUUGGAGACUUUAGUGCAGAAGAGGAGAGUGGAACUCCAUGUGUAGCUGUUAAAUGCGUAGAUAUAUGGAAGAACACCAGUGGCGAAAGCGGCUCUCUGGUCUGUAACUGACGCUGAGGUUCGAAAGCGUGGGUAGCAAACAGGAUUAGAUACCCUGGUAGUC